UCUGGUAAUUUUGUUGCUAGGGUGCACCCCGCUCUCAAUGGUCAAAUCAAAAAUAUCGAUAAAGUUGUAGAAAUCGUUGUGUCCGAUCGUCAUGUAAGUACUAUUUCAAUUGUCCAGGAAUUAAACUUUAUCCCUGAGCUCAACAUUGUACAAAAUCAUGUUUGGAAUUAUUUAAAUAAUGCUGGAUGUAAACAGAAAUUCAAGGAGGAUGAUUAUUGGUGUAGAAAAUUGGAUUACUUGCCACAACUUGAAGUAAAACCGGUCUAGGUCGAAUUCCGGUGAACCUGCACAAACGAUGGCGAAGUGAGCAUUAAUGGACAGUAAGAUUUUGCUCCGUUUUUGUUGGAAUUGGUAGGGGAUCAUAUACUAUGAACUACUCCCUUACGGUCAAACUCUUAAUUCGGACUUGUACUGUCAACAAUUUGACCGUCUAAAUGAAGUAAUCACGUAGAGAUUUCCAGUAUUGGUAAAUAACGGGAGCUAUGGCCACUUCGAUAAUGACUCGCUAGAAGCAACAAGAGCUUUAUGAGAGAUACUAAGGAUAAAUGGACGGUCCAUUAUAAUGACAUACGUGUAAUGCGUACUAAGUAUAUGCAUGAAUAAUAUGGACAUUCUAUGAAAAACGUUUUAGUGAGAAGCAGACUGUUUACAUUUCCUUAUAUAAUCAUCUGACAGGAAAGAGAGAUCUGUUUUGCCAGCAUGGACUUUGAAUUUAAUACAUCUUGUGAUGGAGUCAUACAUAAACUCGUAGACUGUAUGUGGACAAUCUACUUGCGUCAUUGUUUUUUCCACCAACUUUAGUACGGAGUAUAGAAAACGUAUACAGACAUGCGGUUUCCACUUGCGAUUCUAAAAUCUCGCUUGAUUUGUACUGGAGUGCGCACAAUACCGUUUUGAUCCCUAAGGCCUACGCAAACGUCGCUUGUCUUAGCCAAAUACGCCUGCAGCCACCAGCGCAAACACUUUCGAUGAUUUAAAUAAUCUCUCAUAAUUCCAUUUGUAUUCAAUUGCUUCGUCAAUAUGAAUCGAAGUUUAUUCAUUUCUUCCAUAUUAUGACUAAAAAGAUUUGAAUACAGCAUUAACGACAAAUGUAGGAUUAUAAAAGUUCUAUUUUCUUAGUAGAAAGUACAUGUGCUUUUCAUCUUUAUUAUUAAAUAAAAAAUUGUCAAAAAGUUGAUUUUCGGUGAUAAAGCAUUUUAUUUGAUUUUAUAUAUGUAU
This is a long non-coding RNA of Bactrocera dorsalis (oriental fruit fly), 1218 nucleotides long. RefSeq lists it as uncharacterized. Lineage: Eukaryota; Metazoa; Arthropoda; Insecta; Diptera; Tephritidae. The record is from RefSeq and is a predicted model, not a curated record. The transcript is spliced from 4 exons.